ACUAAGCGUACACGGUGGAUGCCCUGGCAGUCAGAGGCGAUGAAGGACGUGCUAAUCUGCGAUAAGCGUCGGUGAGGUGAUAUGAACCGUUAUAACCGGCGAUUUCCGAAUGGGGAAACCCAGUGUGUUUCGACACACUAUCAUUAACUGAAUCCAUAGGUUAAUGAGGCGAACCGGGGGAACUGAAACAUCUAAGUACCCCGAGGAAAAGAAAUCAACCGAGAUUCCCCCAGUAGCGGCGAGCGAACGGGGAGGAGCCCAGAGCCUGAAUCAGUGUGUGUGUUAGUGGAAGCGUCUGGAAAGGCGUGCGAUACAGGGUGACAGCCCCGUACACAAAAAUGCACAUAUUGUGAGCUCGAUGAGUAGGGCGGGACACGUGGUAUCCUGUCUGAAUAUGGGGGGACCAUCCUCCAAGGCUAAAUACUCCUGACUGACCGAUAGUGAACCAGUACCGUGAGGGAAAGGCGAAAAGAACCCCGGCGAGGGGAGUGAAAAAGAACCUGAAACCGUGUACGUACAAGCAGUGGGAGCCUCUUAAUGGGGUGACUGCGUACCUUUUGUAUAAUGGGUCAGCGACUUAUAUUCUGUAGCAAGGUUAACCGAAUAGGGGAGCCGAAGGGAAACCGAGUCUUAACUGGGCGUUAAGUUGCAGGGUAUAGACCCGAAACCCGGUGAUCUAGCCAUGGGCAGGUUGAAGGUUGGGUAACACUAACUGGAGGACCGAACCGACUAAUGUUGAAAAAUUAGCGGAUGACUUGUGGCUGGGGGUGAAAGGCCAAUCAAACCGGGAGAUAGCUGGUUCUCCCCGAAAGCUAUUUAGGUAGCGCCUCGUGAAUUCAUCUCCGGGGGUAGAGCACUGUUUCGGCAAGGGGGUCAUCCCGACUUACCAACCCGAUGCAAACUGCGAAUACCGGAGAAUGUUAUCACGGGAGACACACGGCGGGUGCUAACGUCCGUCGUGAAGAGGGAAACAACCCAGACCGCCAGCUAAGGUCCCAAAGUCAUGGUUAAGUGGGAAACGAUGUGGGAAGGCCCAGACAGCCAGGAUGUUGGCUUAGAAGCAGCCAUCAUUUAAAGAAAGCGUAAUAGCUCACUGGUCGAGUCGGCCUGCGCGGAAGAUGUAACGGGGCUAAACCAUGCACCGAAGCUGCGGCAGCGACACUAUGUGUUGUUGGGUAGGGGAGCGUUCUGUAAGCCUGUGAAGGUGGCCUGUGAGGGUUGCUGGAGGUAUCAGAAGUGCGAAUGCUGACAUAAGUAACGAUAAAGCGGGUGAAAAGCCCGCUCGCCGGAAGACCAAGGGUUCCUGUCCAACGUUAAUCGGGGCAGGGUGAGUCGACCCCUAAGGCGAGGCCGAAAGGCGUAGUCGAUGGGAAACAGGUUAAUAUUCCUGUACUUGGUGUUACUGCGAAGGGGGGACGGAGAAGGCUAUGUUGGCCGGGCGACGGUUGUCCCGGUUUAAGCGUGUAGGCUGGUUUUCCAGGCAAAUCCGGAAAACCAAGGCUGAGGCGUGAUGACGAGGCACUACGGUGCUGAAGCGACAAAUGCCCUGCUUCCAGGAAAAGCCUCUAAGCAUCAGGUAACAUCAAAUCGUACCCCAAACCGACACAGGUGGUCAGGUAGAGAAUACCAAGGCGCUUGAGAGAACUCGGGUGAAGGAACUAGGCAAAAUGGUGCCGUAACUUCGGGAGAAGGCACGCUGAUAUGUAGGUGAAGCGACUUGCUCGUGGAGCUGAAAUCAGUCGAAGAUACCAGCUGGCUGCAACUGUUUAUUAAAAACACAGCACUGUGCAAACACGAAAGUGGACGUAUACGGUGUGACGCCUGCCCGGUGCCGGAAGGUUAAUUGAUGGGGUUAGCGGUAACGCGAAGCUCUUGAUCGAAGCCCCGGUAAACGGCGGCCGUAACUAUAACGGUCCUAAGGUAGCGAAAUUCCUUGUCGGGUAAGUUCCGACCUGCACGAAUGGCGUAAUGAUGGCCAGGCUGUCUCCACCCGAGACUCAGUGAAAUUGAACUCGCUGUGAAGAUGCAGUGUACCCGCGGCAAGACGGAAAGACCCCGUGAACCUUUACUAUAGCUUGACACUGAACAUUGAGCCUUGAUGUGUAGGAUAGGUGGGAGGCUUUGAAGUGUGGACGCCAGUCUGCAUGGAGCCGACCUUGAAAUACCACCCUUUAAUGUUUGAUGUUCUAACGUUGGCCCGUAAUCCGGGUUGCGGACAGUGUCUGGUGGGUAGUUUGACUGGGGCGGUCUCCUCCUAAAGAGUAACGGAGGAGCACGAAGGUUGGCUAAUCCUGGUCGGACAUCAGGAGGUUAGUGCAAUGGCAUAAGCCAGCUUGACUGCGAGCGUGACGGCGCGAGCAGGUGCGAAAGCAGGUCAUAGUGAUCCGGUGGUUCUGAAUGGAAGGGCCAUCGCUCAACGGAUAAAAGGUACUCCGGGGAUAACAGGCUGAUACCGCCCAAGAGUUCAUAUCGACGGCGGUGUUUGGCACCUCGAUGUCGGCUCAUCACAUCCUGGGGCUGAAGUAGGUCCCAAGGGUAUGGCUGUUCGCCAUUUAAAGUGGUACGCGAGCUGGGUUUAGAACGUCGUGAGACAGUUCGGUCCCUAUCUGCCGUGGGCGCUGGAGAACUGAGGGGGGCUGCUCCUAGUACGAGAGGACCGGAGUGGACGCAUCACUGGUGUUCGGGUUGUCAUGCCAAUGGCACUGCCCGGUAGCUAAAUGCGGAAGAGAUAAGUGCUGAAAGCAUCUAAGCACGAAACUUGCCCCGAGAUGAGUUCUCCCUGACUCCUUGAGAGUCCUGAAGGAACGUUGAAGACGACGACGUUGAUAGGCCGGGUGUGUAAGCGCAGCGAUGCGUUGAGCUAACCGGUACUAAUGAACCGUGAGGCUUAACC
Molecule: ribosomal RNA, 2893 nt
Filed under: Escherichia coli
Lineage: Bacteria; Pseudomonadati; Pseudomonadota; Gammaproteobacteria; Enterobacterales; Enterobacteriaceae
Also listed under: 1 other name
Description: bacterial LSU rRNA
Rfam family: Bacterial large subunit ribosomal RNA
Source: RNAcentral